CCUACGGGAGGCAGCAGUGGGGGAUAUUGCACAAUGGGGGGAACCCUGAUGCAGCGACGCCGCGUGGGUGAAGAAGCGCCUCGGCGCGUAAAGCCCUGUCAGCAGGGAAGAAAAUGACGGUACCUGAAGAAGAAGCCCCGGCUAACUACGUGCCAGCAGCUGCGGUAAUACGUAGGGGGCAAGCGUUAUCCGGAUUUACUGGGUGGAAAGGGGGCGCAGACGGCGAUGCAAGCCAGGAGUGAAAGCCCGGGGCCCAACCCCGGGACUGCUCUUGGAAAUGCGUGGCUGGAGUGCAGGAGGGGCAGGCGGAAUUCCUGGUGUAGCGGUGAAAUGCGUAGAUAUCAGGAGGAACACCGGUGGCGAAGGCGGCCUGCUGGACUGCAACUGACGUUGAGGCCCGAAAGCGUGGGGAGCAAACAGGAUUAGAUACCCUGGUAGUC
RNAcentral lists this ribosomal RNA (440 nucleotides) under uncultured bacterium. Its description in RNAcentral is "partial 16S ribosomal RNA". It matches the Rfam family "Bacterial small subunit ribosomal RNA", at positions 338 to 795 of the family's 1533-position model. The record is from RNAcentral.